This 90-nucleotide transfer RNA is filed under the name Neotessella volvocina. Its description in RNAcentral is "tRNA-Ser". It matches the Rfam family "tRNA". Rfam says of the family: Transfer RNA (tRNA) molecules are approximately 80 nucleotides in length. Their secondary structure includes four short double-helical elements and three loops (D, anti-codon, and T loops). Lineage: Eukaryota; Synurophyceae; Synurales; Neotessellaceae. The record is from RNAcentral.
GGAGAGAUGGCUGAGUGGUUUAUAGCGUAAGAUUGCUAAUCUUUUGUAUUUUCUUAUUAAAUACCGAGGGUUCGAAUCCCUCUCUCUCCU